This 225-nucleotide ribosomal RNA is filed under the name uncultured bacterium. Its description in RNAcentral is "partial 16S ribosomal RNA". It matches the Rfam family "Bacterial small subunit ribosomal RNA", at positions 15 to 231 of the family's 1533-position model. The record is from RNAcentral.
GAUCAUGGCUCAGGAUGAACGCUAGCUACAGGCUUAACACAUGCAAGUCGAGGGGCAGCAUGGUAUUAGCUUGCUAAGACUGAUGGCGACCGGCGCACGGGUGAGUAACACGUAUCCAACCUGCCGUCUACUCUUGGACGGCCUUCUGAAAGGAAGAUUAAUACAAGAUGGCAUCAUGAGUCCGCAUGUUCACAUGAUUAAAGGUAUUCCGGUAGACGAUGGGGA